This 574-nucleotide long non-coding RNA is filed under the name Struthio camelus australis. Its description in RNAcentral is "lncRNA (ENSSCUG00000004798.1)". Lineage: Eukaryota; Metazoa; Chordata; Aves; Struthioniformes; Struthionidae. The record is from RNAcentral.
AUGCAGAAUUCAAUCUCACUCACGGUUCUGCAAGGGAAACGAAACUCUACGAGGGAGAGUAAUAAAUCGGUAUCUCCUGCUCCUCGCCCACAUUUUAAAUCAGUGCAUAAAUCAUAUUUGUGUCGGUUUCCCUCACAUGCCAGCAGACCUUUUAAAAAAAAAAAAAAAACACACACAAAACCUUUUUUGCUGUACUUUCAGUGUCGGCUUCAGCUGGUGCUUGCAGGCAACCCCCUGGCUCUGCGCGUCUCCUUCAUCUGCGCCGACAUGUCCCAGGCUGGACCGCGCACCGACAGGCAUACAGAUAUACAAGGCAAACUAAAGGUUUCGAAUGCUAUUCAGUGCCUCCUCAUUUGUCCCGGAGCCUUAACAGUGGUGCCCUUUCUCUUCUGGCUGCUUUUCCCUGCUUCUGGAGCAGCAGUUAUGGGAGAAGCAGAUGGCUACUGAUUGGGUCUCGCACCUCAGCUGGAGGACUCGAGCUGUCUCCGUGAGCAGAGCCUGAGAUAAGCGAGGGCCAUGCAGUGGGUGACUCCUGCCUCAGCGCGAGCUGCCGGCGGUGGCUCACAGGGACUGU